RNAcentral lists this ribosomal RNA (460 nucleotides) under uncultured bacterium. Its description in RNAcentral is "partial 16S ribosomal RNA". It matches the Rfam family "Bacterial small subunit ribosomal RNA", at positions 338 to 795 of the family's 1533-position model. The record is from RNAcentral.
UCUACGGGUGGCAGCAGUGAGGAAUAUUGGUCAAUGGACGAGAGUCUGAACCAGCCAAGUAGCGUGAAGGAUGACUGCCCUAUGGGUUGUAAACUUCUUUUAUAUGGGAAUAAAAUGUUCAAAGUGUGGGAUUUUGUAUGUACCAUAUGAAUAAGGAUCGGCUAACUCCGUGCCAGCAGCCGCGGCAAUAAGGAGGAUCCGAGCGUUAUCCGGAUUUAUUGGGUUUAAAGGGAGCGUAGGUGGAUUGUUAAGUUAGUUGUGGAAGUGUGCGGCUAAAACGUAAAAUUGCAGUUGAAACUGGCAGUCUUGAGGACAGUAGAGGUGGGCGGAAUUCGUGGUGUAGCGGUGAAAUGCUUAGAUAUCACGAAGAACUCCGAUUGCGAAGGCAGCUCACUGGACUGCAACUGACACUGAGGCUCGAAAGUGUGGGUAUCAAACAGGAUUAGAUACCCGGGUAGUC